This 500-nucleotide ribosomal RNA is filed under the name uncultured bacterium. RNAcentral's name for it is "partial 16S ribosomal RNA". It matches the Rfam family "Bacterial small subunit ribosomal RNA", at positions 30 to 523 of the family's 1533-position model. The record is from RNAcentral.
AUUGAACGCUGGCGGCAUGCCUUACACAUGCAAGUCGAAUGGCAGCACGGGAGCAAUCCUGGUGGCGAGUGGCGAACGGGUGAGUAAAGUAUCGGAACGUGCCCAGUCGUGGGGGAUAACGUAGCGAAAGUUACGCUAAUACCGCAUACGAUCUAUGGAUGAAAGCGGGGGAUCGCAAGACCUCGCGCGACUGGAGCGGCCGAUAUCAGAUUAGGUAGUUGGUGGGGUAAAGGCUCACCAAGCCGACGAUCUGUAGCUGGUCUGAGAGGACGACCAGCCACACUGGAACUGAGACACGGCCCAGACUCCUACGGGAGGCAGCAGUGGGGAAUUUUGGACAAUGGGCGCAAGCCUGAUCCAGCCAUGCCGCGUGCAGGAUGAAGGCCUUCGGGUUGUAAACUGCUUUUGUACGGAACGAAAAGGUUUGGCUUAAUACGUUGAACUCAUGACGGUACCGUAAGAAUAAGCACCGGCUAACUACGUGCCAGCAGCCGCAGUAA